GACGAACGCUGGCGGCGUGCUUAACACAUGCCAGUCGAACGGAAAGGCCCUGCUUUUGUGGGGUGCUCGAGUGGCGAACGGGUGAGUAACACGUGAGUAACCUGCCCUUGACUUUGGGAUAACUUCAGGAAACUGGGGCUAAUACCGGAUAGGAGCUCCUGCUGCAUGGUGGGGGUUGGAAAGUUUCGGCGGUUGGGGAUGGACUCGCGGCUUAUCAGCUUGUUGGUGGGGUAGUGGCUUACCAAGGCUUUGACGGGUAGCCGGCCUGAGAGGGUGACCGGCCACAUUGGGACUGAGAUACGGCCCAGACUCCUACGGGAGGAAGCAGUGGGGAAUAUUGCACAAUGGGCGGAAGCCUGAUGCAGCAACGCCGCGUGCGGGAUGACGGCCUUCGGGUUGUAAACCGCUUUCGCCUGUGACGAAGCGUGAGUGACGGUAAUGGGUAAGAAGCACCGGCUAACUACGUG
RNAcentral lists this ribosomal RNA (467 nucleotides) under uncultured bacterium. Its description in RNAcentral is "partial 16S ribosomal RNA". It matches the Rfam family "Bacterial small subunit ribosomal RNA", at positions 28 to 507 of the family's 1533-position model. The record is from RNAcentral.